This 469-nucleotide ribosomal RNA is filed under the name uncultured bacterium. RNAcentral's name for it is "bacterial SSU rRNA". It matches the Rfam family "Bacterial small subunit ribosomal RNA", at positions 29 to 526 of the family's 1533-position model. The record is from RNAcentral.
AACGAACGCUGGCGGCAGGCUUAACACAUGCAAGUCGAGCGAAGACUUCGGUCUUAGCGGCGGACGGGUGAGUAACGCGUGGAUAACCUGCCUCAUACAGGGGGAUAACAGUUAGAAAUGACUGCUAAUACCGCAUAAGCGCACAGAAUCGCAUGAUUCAGUGUGAAAAACUCCGGUGGUAUGAGAUGGAUCCGCGUCUGAUUAGCUAGUUGGAGGGGUAACGGCCCACCAAGGCAACGAUCAGUAGCCGGCCUGAGAGGGCGACCGGCCACAUUGGGACUGAGACACGGCCCAAACUCCUACGGGAGGCAGCAGUGGGGAAUAUUGCACAAUGGGGGAAACCCUGAUGCAGCGACGCCGCGUGAGCGAAGAAGUAUUUCGGUAUGUAAAGCUCUAUCAGCAGGGAAGAAAAUGACGGUACCUGACUAAGAAGCCCCGGCUAACUACGUGCCAGCCGCCGCGGUAAAAC